This 506-nucleotide ribosomal RNA is filed under the name uncultured bacterium. RNAcentral describes it as "partial 16S ribosomal RNA". It matches the Rfam family "Bacterial small subunit ribosomal RNA", at positions 30 to 523 of the family's 1533-position model. The record is from RNAcentral.
AUUGAACGCUGGCGGCAGGCCUAACACAUGCAAGUCGAACGGUAACAGAAAGCAGCUUGCUGCUUUGCUGACGAGUGGCGGACGGGUGAGUAAUGUCUGGGAAACUGCCUGAUGGAGGGGGAUAACUACUGGAAACGGUAGCUAAUACCGCAUAACGUCGCAAGACCAAAGAGGGGGACCUUCGGGACUCUUGCCAUCGGAUGUGCCCAGAUGGGAUUAGCUAGUAGGUGGGGUAACGGCUCACCUAGGCGACGAUCCCUAGCUGGUCUGAGAGGAUGACCAGCCACACUGGAACUGAGACUCGGUCCAGACUCCUACGGGAGGCAGCAGUGGGGAAUAUUGCACAAGGGGCGCAAGCCUGAUGCAGCCAUGCCGCGUGUAUGAAGAAGGCCUUCGGGUUGUAAAGUACUUUCAGCGAGGAGGAAGGUGUUGUGGUUAAUAACCACAGCAAUUGACGUUACUCGCAGAAGAAGCACCGGCUAACUCCGUGCCAGCAGCCGCCGUAA